GGCAGUGACGGUUAACGGGGGAUUAGGGUUCGAUUCCGGAGAGGGAGCCUGAGAAACGGCUACCACAUCUAAGGAAGGCAGCAGGCGCGCAAAUUACCCAAUUCUAACAGCAUAAGAGAGGUAGUGACAAGAAAUAACAAUACAAGGCAKUUAAAAUGYUUUGUAAUUGGAAUGAUAGAAAUUUAAACACUUUUUAAAGUAUCAAUUGGAGGGCAAGUCUGGUGCCAGCAGCCGCGGUAAUUCCAGCUCCAAUAGCGUAUAUUAAAAUUGUUGCAGUUAAAAAGCUCGUAGUUGAAUUUYUGYUAAAAAUAACCGGUCUGCUUUUAACAAAAGUGGUAUCUUGGUGUGUUUUUAGCAAUAAUGUCCUUUGAAAUGUGUUUUACUUUGUUGUAAAAGACAAUAUUCAGGAUUUUUACUUUGAGAAAAUUAGAGUGUUUCUAGCAAGCUAAUGUUUUGAAUACUGCAGCAUGGAAUAAUAAAAUAGAAUUUUAGUUCUACAUUGUUGGUUUUAAGAGCUGAAUUAAUGAUUGAUAGGGACAGUUGGGGGCAUUUGUAUUUAACUGUCAGAGGU
RNAcentral lists this ribosomal RNA (571 nucleotides) under Hepatozoon sp. JPMCM-2012. RNAcentral describes it as "bacterial SSU rRNA". It matches the Rfam family "Eukaryotic small subunit ribosomal RNA", at positions 350 to 923 of the family's 1831-position model. The record is from RNAcentral. Lineage: Eukaryota; Apicomplexa; Hepatozoidae.